Molecule: long non-coding RNA, 401 nt
Filed under: Brassica rapa (field mustard)
Lineage: Eukaryota; Viridiplantae; Streptophyta; Magnoliopsida; Brassicales; Brassicaceae
Description: long non-coding RNA (BRAP_LNC003055)
Source: RNAcentral
AAACUAUAAUAUGAAACUAUUGGUUCGACAAAUUAUAACAUGAAAACAAACAAGUAAUAGUAAUUUUUGAUCAUCACAGAGAAAAAAAAACAAAAAACAUCAAACAUUUUAACUGAACAACCCAAGUAAAUAUUGAUUUAAAAUGAUAGUUAUAUUUUAGGAGAUUAAAAACUAAAAAAUAACAUAAAACCGAACCGAUAUCCAGAUUAAACAGAUUAAUGUCUCCUUAUUAAAAAAUAACGAAACUAAUAAUCACAUUCAUGCACGGAUUAUUACCUUGUAUAUACAUAUAACAUAUACAUAUAUUUCCAUAACAUUUUAGAUUGCCCUAAAUAUUUUACAUAAGACUUAAGAAAGUAGUAAAUAUUGGUAGGUUUGGUUCUCAUUUGGCUAGCCCAUUU